This 1551-nucleotide ribosomal RNA is filed under the name Staphylococcus aureus. RNAcentral describes it as "16S ribosomal RNA". It matches the Rfam family "Bacterial small subunit ribosomal RNA". The record is from RNAcentral. Lineage: Bacteria; Bacillati; Bacillota; Bacilli; Caryophanales; Staphylococcaceae.
UUUAUGGAGAGUUUGAUCCUGGCUCAGGAUGAACGCUGGCGGCGUGCCUAAUACAUGCAAGUCGAGCGAACGGACGAGAAGCUUGCUUCUCUGAUGUUAGCGGCGGACGGGUGAGUAACACGUGGAUAACCUACCUAUAAGACUGGGAUAACUUCGGGAAACCGGAGCUAAUACCGGAUAAUAUUUUGAACCGCAUGGUUCAAAAGUGAAAGACGGUCUUACUGUCACUUAUAGAUGGAUCCGCGCUGCAUUAGCUAGUUGGUAAGGUAACGGCUUACCAAGGCAACGAUGCAUAGCCGACCUGAGAGGGUGAUCGGCCACACUGGAACUGAGACACGGUCCAGACUCCUACGGGAGGCAGCAGUAGGGAAUCUUCCGCAAUGGGCGAAAGCCUGACGGAGCAACGCCGCGUGAGUGAUGAAGGUCUUCGGAUCGUAAAACUCUGUUAUUAGGGAAGAACAUAUGUGUAAGUAACUGUGCACAUCUUGACGGUACCUAAUCAGAAAGCCACGGCUAACUACGUGCCAGCAGCCGCGGUAAUACGUAGGUGGCAAGCGUUAUCCGGAAUUAUUGGGCGUAAAGCGCGCGUAGGCGGUUUUUUAAGUCUGAUGUGAAAGCCCACGGCUCAACCGUGGAGGGUCAUUGGAAACUGGAAAACUUGAGUGCAGAAGAGGAAAGUGGAAUUCCAUGUGUAGCGGUGAAAUGCGCAGAGAUAUGGAGGAACACCAGUGGCGAAGGCGACUUUCUGGUCUGUAACUGACGCUGAUGUGCGAAAGCGUGGGGAUCAAACAGGAUUAGAUACCCUGGUAGUCCACGCCGUAAACGAUGAGUGCUAAGUGUUAGGGGGUUUCCGCCCUUAGUGCUGCAGCUAACGCAUUAAGCACUCCGCCUGGGGAGUACGACCGCAAGGUUGAAACUCAAAGGAAUUGACGGGGACCCGCACAAGCGGUGGAGCAUGUGGUUUAAUUCGAAGCAACGCGAAGAACCUUACCAAAUCUUGACAUCCUUUGACAACUCUAGAGAUAGAGCUUUCCCCUUCGGGGGACAAAGUGACAGGUGGUGCAUGGUUGUCGUCAGCUCGUGUCGUGAGAUGUUGGGUUAAGUCCCGCAACGAGCGCAACCCUUAAGCUUAGUUGCCAUCAUUAAGUUGGGCACUCUAAGUUGACUGCCGGUGACAAACCGGAGGAAGGUGGGGAUGACGUCAAAUCAUCAUGCCCCUUAUGAUUUGGGCUACACACGUGCUACAAUGGACAAUACAAAGGGCAGCGAAACCGCGAGGUCAAGCAAAUCCCAUAAAGUUGUUCUCAGUUCGGAUUGUAGUCUGCAACUCGACUACAUGAAGCUGGAAUCGCUAGUAAUCGUAGAUCAGCAUGCUACGGUGAAUACGUUCCCGGGUCUUGUACACACCGCCCGUCACACCACGAGAGUUUGUAACACCCGAAGCCGGUGGAGUAACCUUUUAGGAGCUAGCCGUCGAAGGUGGGACAAAUGAUUGGGGUGAAGUCGUAACAAGGUAGCCGUAUCGGAAGGUGCGGCUGGAUCACCUCCUUU